UUAAUUGGUUGCAUCUGGUGCGUUUCACUUAAGAGGGAACCGGACAGUACGUUGACGUCCUCCACUGUUUGACGUCCUCCACUGUUUGGCAGUGUAGCCUCUCCCAAACGUGGUUAAAGACUUUUUGAAGUAAAGAAGAGCAUCUCAUCUGAACCUGAUGUCUAUCAUGGAUAUUUAACUGCAGUUCUGUGAGUAUCCCAACUUAACCAUCAAGAUGAACUGCAAACUGUAAGUCAUUAGUUUCUUAUUACUCUUGGGCACAUUGAUGUAUUUUGCUUUCCUGGUGAGUUAACCCGUUGCCUGAAGGUUGAUCUGAGUAGUAAGGAUGUUUUAUUGGUUCAUGGGUUACUUAGGUGUUUGGUUUAUGUUGGUUUUAAUGAUAUGUUGAAAUGGUUACAGGCUCCAAAUUAUUGUUGUAAGCUGGAGUAAUGGGUUGGGUUCUGAUAUCUUCAGUCUUCUUUCAUGCUACUCUCCUGAGCUCUGCAUCUUCAUCACAUGAAUGUUGCUCUACUGUGAGGGUGUGGUCUGAGUGAGCAGAGGUGCAUACUGGGAUACAGAGCUGUCUGAAGUCUACAGGUCUGUAGACACGCCCCCUCAGGGGAAACCGAGCGUUUGAGAAACCGUCGUGACGUCGGUUACAUGGACUAGAAUGUACUUAAAGAUGGACUCACGGAUUCAGAAGGAGAAACACCAGGGGGAGUUGAGGGGGCUCCUCAUCUGAACGACUAAAACACAACUUCAGUCUGACACAGAGAACCAUGGAACACGUUCAACAGCCCCCUCCAGGCAUCGUGACUCCUCAGGAACAGUUUCAUUUCCAAGAAGGUCUUAAUUGGGGCCAUUCCAAGAUGGAUCCUGCUCCUCAAGAGCCACCCCCCUCCACUGGGUGGUCUUCUAAAGAGAUGACCUCCUUCCUAUCCUCAGGCUGACUAAAGCUGCACCGUUUGCAUCUGUGAAGGCCCCUCAUUCAGGAAACCACUGGACAACAAAGACAUGACUUCAGAGACGUUGAAUCAACCUGGGACACAUCUUGGAGACGCCAAGCAUAAUCCAUCACCAAUGUGGGACGCCACUGAAGAAUGUUGUUCAUAAUUUACGUCUCUGGAGACAUUGGUUGUUCUGUUAUGGGUGCCCUGGCAGGAGAGCUGGGGGUGGAUGAUGGAAUGGUGUGUGUGUGUGUGUGUGUGUGUGUGUGUGUGUGUGUGUGUGUGUGUGUGUGUGUGUGUGUGUGUGUGUGUGUGUGUGUGUGUGUGUGUGUGUGUGUGUGUGUGUGUGUGUGUGUGUGUGUGUGUGUGUGUGUGUGUGUUGGAUGAUUUUUGAGCAUCACUAGGGUUCUACUGCGUGUGUGUGUCCCACUCACACCUGGCAUGUGGUCCUACGUGCCUGUCCUGGGUUCUAUGUGUGUGUGUGUCCAGCUUGCUUUGACAGUGAUAAUGUUCAUACGGGGGUCUGUGUGAUUGGCUUGGGAUAUUGGAAUGGUCAACUAAAUCAUACCUGAUGGACGGCCACACGUUUACUUAAGGGCCUCCAGUAGACAUGAAGAGCCCUGAGCGACGCUCCGGAGCGAUAUCAACACACUGGGCAGGAAGGAGAGUAUCCACAUCAAAUGUAAAAGGAUGCACGCAGCGUGUUCAGAUCAGUGACUUCAAACUAGGACUACACCAAUCAGGAUCAAUGGAGGAUGGACACCUAAAGGAAUUCCACAAGGAGAGUCUGACAUUGGAAAGGGACCUAAAUGGAUAUUCAAGAUGACCUUCAGACCUGUAAUGAGACGGCUCUUCCUACCUGGCUGGAUUGAUGGAGAGCCCUGUGGAUCUUGUCUUGCUCUCAGUUGCAUGUCUGCUCAGGCUGAACUGUAUUUUUUUCGGACAGGACUAGCUGAACGAUUGGUUUCCUUAAAUCAGAACCAAUCCGGGAACUCCAACUAGUGCGCUCUUCGAGCUGAAGUUGUGCUCUUCAGCUGAGGAGGUAAGGAAACCUUCACUGGGGCUUCAAGGUGUAAAGAGGAGAAUGUUUCAAAGUGUUCCAUGGUGCUCUGAUGAAGACCGUUGUUGUGUUCCACUGGCUGAGAGGAAGGACCCUCACAUCAUCCUCUUGGCCUUUCUCCUCUUUGAAUCGUGGCUCCAUCUUGAAGGAUAUUCCAGCGCAUGUAACUGAUGUCGUGACAGAUUCUCAAACACUUGGUUUCUCCUGAGGGGCGUGUCUAUAGAACUGAAGACUUCAGACAGCACUGUAUCCCAGCAUGCAUCUCUGCUUACUCAGACCACACCCCCAUGAGUAGGAUGCAACACUCUAGCGAUGGAGAUGUAGAGUUUUAUAAGUAACGCGGGAGCAGACAGGUGACUAGAACACAAUGGCAUGUCAAGUCUGUAAAUCUUUAAACCAUGAAGAUGGUUGGAUAGUUCAGGAAUUGGGCUUCUUUUUAUUAUGGGCAGUCCUUUCACUGAGAUGCCCACUUCUCACUGGACCUGUACAUGUGUUGGCUGGCUGGCAUGAUUUUCUGUUGGUGAUGAGGCGGUCUGGGUGACGUUGCAGGGCUAUGGUCAGCUCUCUGUGAGCUCAAUGUUUAGAUUUGCUCUGUAUGGUUUGCACCCUGAAUACUCAGGGUAAUUGUAAAAUGUAGACACGGUUUUGUAUUGAAUGAUUCCCGGUUUUUAGGUUUAAGGUUGUUGUGGGACGUACAUGGUAGUUUGGUUCUUCGUACGGUUUUGAGUGAUAUAACUUGUACACACUGGGUGCAUAAUAAUGUAAAGGUACACUGAAUAGUAGUAUUGACCAACAGCAACAAACAGAUCUCCUCAAGGUAAGUCUGUUGGCUGUGUUUUAUUGAAGACCAUCGCUGGACUUCAGGAUCUUCCUCCGCUCAGCUCAAGGUGAGGCGCUGGUUCUGUUUUUUCUUUGGUUGGUUCCGGCCGGAAUGUUCGGAUUCCGGUCGGACGGUUUGUGCUUCCCGCCGUGGAAGGUUCUGAGUGCGGUCACUUGAUUUAGUCCCAAUGGUUAGCAUAGAACGUUGUAGUCUUGACAACCAUAAGAACCCACCUGGUAGUUAAUUGGACGGGAGUCCCCUGAGGGAAUCUGGCGGAACGUUCUGGAUUGUAUUCGCGUAACCUCGAGCCGUUGCCAACAAAAACUAUUUUUCAGUCGUUUCCAUUGGGAAUUGUUGCCCCUUAUCUUAAACAACUUAAGUUUGAUAUUAAAUACAUACUGACACGUACGUCGUACAAUAUGUUGAUAAUUUCCGAUGGUUGCGCCGUACUUUAACCACGAGGACGUGACGGGACUCUCGCUGCAUACAAAACGGCGUUCUACUUGCGGGACCAUUUUUGACAUCAGUGAAGGCUGAAAAUCAUUUCAAGGUGGAAGACAAUUUGACAUUUCUUCAACGGAACCCAGCACCUGAAUAUGGCUGAGUGAAUUUGAUUUAAUAUCGAUACUGCUUAGUGUCCUUUGUUACUUCAGCUUUUGUACGUUCUAAAUAUCUGCUGUCAUUAAUUGCCACAGAAGUUAAACCCUACCCAAUGGAAUGACGUUAAACAACGACUUUGGUGCAGAGUUACCAGCUGGAUAAUAUCAUAGCUAAAAUAAUGACCGUCCUUCACACAUGUUACAGUAGAAGAUACUCUAGAAAUGUACAAGGUUAAAAAGGUAACAUGUAGUUUGUCCCAAGGUGUCUGCCUCCUCACCCACUGCAAGACCUCCACCUCCUCACCCACUGCAAGACCUCCACCUCCUCCCUCGGAGCCAGUUCCCCACCUCCUGUCAGAAGUCCUCCAGAACCGCUGAAAGGUGAGGCUGAGAGGCUGGGGACCGGAGGCUUGUGGUGCCAGGAUGGACCGGAGACUGAGGCUUGUGGUGCCAGGAUGGACCGUAAACUGAGGCUGGAGACCAGGGGCCUGCAGCAUCGGACCAGAGGACCAGGAAUCCAGGAGCUGCUGGAGGCCCUGCCUGGUGAAGGACGUCUGUCGUGGGAUGCGAGCUGGUAGGGGAGCCGUGAAUCUGGAGGUUGACCAUCACUCUACCAACAAGGAUCACCAGGAAUCUGGAGGACUGAUGGAGAAGCCGUACACAUGGAAGGCCAAUCCUGAGGACAACCAGGACUCAACCAUCAAGGAUACCUCACACACCUGAGCUGAACCUCACCUGAUCCUGUUUGGUCGGGGGUAGACACACCUGAGCUGAACCCGCCCUGAUCCUGACAUCCUGCUGGUCCCGUCUCCUCAGUUCAUCUGAGCCUCGUCCUCCAGAAGACCUGCUGAGCUCAGCAGUCUGAGGCUGAUGGAUCAAUGACCUCCAGUGGGAGUGAUCUUCUUGACCCCACAUGUAACCGUGUGCUUCCACACGCCUUUCCCUCACGUCUGUCACUAACCUCACUACUUCACUACUCUCUACUGCUUCCUCUUCUUCUUCCUUCUCUGUGGUUCGAACCUUUACACUGGAGGCGCGUCUCCAUGCCCUCAGAGGGUUCAGCGUUAGGGUUGAGAGUCAGGGUUUAGAGUCAGGGACAGAGCUGGUCAGGGAGGACUGCUUUUACACUAACCUCUUCACUUGCUUUCAGAAUGGUGGUAACAUUUUGAAAAGAUUAAUUUGGGAACAUGCUUUCCUCUGCUUUCCUUUACAAAAUUGUAUUAAACUUCUGUCAAGUGUUUUUGAUUAUAUAUUAAAAUCCGACAUUGACU
Molecule: long non-coding RNA, 4676 nt
Organism: Gadus chalcogrammus (walleye pollock)
Lineage: Eukaryota; Metazoa; Chordata; Actinopteri; Gadiformes; Gadidae
Exons: 8
Source: RefSeq, a predicted model, not a curated record